This 253-nucleotide ribosomal RNA is filed under the name uncultured bacterium. RNAcentral describes it as "partial 16S ribosomal RNA". It matches the Rfam family "Bacterial small subunit ribosomal RNA", at positions 524 to 776 of the family's 1533-position model. The record is from RNAcentral.
UACGUAGGGGGCAAGCGUUGUCCGGAAUCAUUGGGCGUAAAGAGCGCGUAGGCGGCCCUGUACGUCCGCUGUGAAAGUCAAGGGCUCAACCCUUGGAUGCCGGUGGAUACUGCAGGGCUAGAGUCCGGAAGAGGCGAGUGGAAUUCCUGGUGUAGCGGUGAAAUGUGUAGAGAUCGGGAGGAACACCGGUGGCGAAGGCGGGUCUCUGGGCAAUUCCUGACGCUGAGGCGCGAAAGCGUGGGGAGCAAACAGG